This 465-nucleotide ribosomal RNA is filed under the name uncultured bacterium. RNAcentral's name for it is "bacterial SSU rRNA". It matches the Rfam family "Bacterial small subunit ribosomal RNA", at positions 959 to 1443 of the family's 1533-position model. The record is from RNAcentral.
ACGCGCAGAACCUUACCAACCCUUGACAUACUUGUCGCGGAUUCCAGAGAUGGAUUCCUUCAGUUCGGCUGGACAAUGUACAGGUGCUGCAUGGCUGUCGUCAGCUCGUGUCGUGAGAUGUUCGGUUAAGUCCGGCAACGAGCGCAACCCACGUCCUUAGUUACCAGCAUUUAGUUGGGUACCCUAAGGAGACUGCCGGUGAUAAGCCGGAGGAAGGUGUGGACGACGUCAAGUCAUCAUGGCCCUUACGGGUUGGGCUACACACGUGCUACAAUGGCAUCUACAGUGAGUUAAUCUCCAAAAGAUGUCUCAGUUCGGAUUGGGGUCUGCAACUCGACCCCAUGAAGUUGGAAUCGCUAGUAAUCGCGGAACAGCAUGCCGCGGUGAAUACGUUCCCGGGCCUUGUACACACCGCCCGUCACACCAUGGGAAUUGGGUCUACCCGAAGGUGGUGCGCCAACUAUU